UAGGAUCUCUCUUCUGCCUACUAUCA
This 26-nucleotide non-coding RNA is filed under the name Rattus norvegicus (Norway rat). The record is from RNAcentral. Lineage: Eukaryota; Metazoa; Chordata; Mammalia; Rodentia; Muridae.